GCCAGACUCCUACGGGAGGCAGCAGUGGGGGAUAUUGCACAAUGGGGGGAACCCUGAUGCAGCGACGCCGCGUGGGUGAAGGAGCGUUUCGGCGCGUAAAGCCCUCUCGGCAGGGAAGAAGGAGGACGGUACCUGACUAAGAAGCCCCGGCUAACUACGUGCCAGCAGCCGCGGUAAUACGUAGGGGGCAAGCGUUAUCCGGAUUUACUGGGUGUAAAGGGGGCGCAGACGGCGAUGCAAGCCAGGAGUGAAAGCCCGGGGCCCAACCCCGGGACUGCUCUUGGAACUGCGUGGCUAGAGUGCAGGAGGGGCAGGCGGAAUUCCUGGUGUAGCGGUGAAAUGCGUAGAUAUCAGGAGGAACACCGGCGGCGAAGGCGGCUUACUGGACGGCAACUGACGUUGAGGCCCGAAAGCGUGGGGAGCGAACAGGAUUAGAUACCCCCGUA
This 446-nucleotide ribosomal RNA is filed under the name uncultured bacterium. Its description in RNAcentral is "partial 16S ribosomal RNA". It matches the Rfam family "Bacterial small subunit ribosomal RNA", at positions 330 to 792 of the family's 1533-position model. The record is from RNAcentral.